Strongylocentrotus purpuratus (purple sea urchin) is the source of this 569-nucleotide long non-coding RNA. RefSeq lists it as uncharacterized. NCBI's taxonomy places the organism in Eukaryota, Metazoa, Echinodermata, Echinoidea, Camarodonta, Strongylocentrotidae. The record is from RefSeq and is a predicted model, not a curated record. The transcript has 3 exons.
AGUACUAGAUUGAAAUAUUAAAUGACCCCCUCGUAAGCUCUUUCCAUGUUCAUGUUAUAAAUACGAGACUGAGACUUGAAUAGUAAAGCCAGGUAUGCUUGCAUGAAUAAACAAUUUUGUGCUUGCUAAUAAUUUAAAGGGAAAUCCAACCAUGAGAAUUGAGAUGAAGUGGCUUAAUUUCAGCAAAUGCAGAAAAAUUAAGCAAAUACCUUUCAUGUUUCUUCCCGGUUUUACCAGUAGAAUAGCCGGCUGAGAGGACCAUCACUAGCACUCCCAGUGGCUGAUGUCUAAGUAGGAGUUUGACGUGGAGAGCUUUUAGCAUGUUGUUGAGUUUACCAGUAGAAUAGACAGCUGGGAUAUGCAAGAGAUGAGGGACCACUAGCACCCCCAGUGGUUGAUGUCCAUGUAGGAGUUUGUGCAGCUGAUGUGGAGAGCUUUUAGCAAAUUGACGAGCAUCUUCACCCUCUGCCCUUGAACUGAUUACGUUUCCAAUACCACGGUUUGGAGGUCAGACCAAACAACUGACAGACCGACCGACUGAAUAGCUAAGUCCCCUCAGUGAUCAAAGG